AACGUAGGUACCGAGCGUUAUCCGGAUUUACUGGGCGUAAAGCGCGUUCAGGCGGUUUGACAAGUCGGGCAUGAAAUCUCUCGGCUCAACCGGGAGAGGUUGUCCGAUACUUUCAGACUUGAGGGCAGUAGAGGGUGGUGGAAUUCCGGGUGUAGUGGUGAAAUGCGUAGAUAUCCGGAGGAACACCAGUGGCGAAAGCGGCCACCUGGACUGCACCUGACGCUAAAGCGCGAAAGCUAGGGGAGCGAACGGG
This 253-nucleotide ribosomal RNA is filed under the name uncultured bacterium. Its description in RNAcentral is "partial 16S ribosomal RNA". It matches the Rfam family "Bacterial small subunit ribosomal RNA", at positions 524 to 776 of the family's 1533-position model. The record is from RNAcentral.